This 442-nucleotide ribosomal RNA is filed under the name uncultured bacterium. Its description in RNAcentral is "bacterial SSU rRNA". It matches the Rfam family "Bacterial small subunit ribosomal RNA", at positions 338 to 795 of the family's 1533-position model. The record is from RNAcentral.
CCUACGGGGUGCAGCAGUGGGGAAUUUUCCGCAAUGGGCGUAAGCCUGACGGAGCAAUGUCGCGUGGAGGUAAAAGGCCCACGGGUCGUGAACUUCUUUUCCCGGAGAAGAAGCAAUGACGGUAUCUGGGGAAUAAGCAUCGGCUAACUCUGUGCCAGCAGCCGCGGUAAUACAGAGGAUGCAAGCGUUAUCCGGAAUGAUUGGGCGUAAAGCGUCUGUAGGUGGCUUUUUAAGUCCGCCGUCAAAUCCCAGGGCUCAACCCUGGACAGGCGGUGGAAACUGCCAAGCUGGAGUACGGUAGGGGCAGAGGGAAUUUCCGGUGGAGCGGUGAAAUGCGUAGAGAUCGGAAAGAACACCAACGGCGAAAGCACUCUACUGGGCCGACACUGACACUGAGAGACGAAAGCUAGGGGAGGGAAUGGGAUUAGAUACCCUCGUAGUC